CCUACGGGAGGCUGCAGUGAGGAAUAUUGGUCAAUGGUCGGGAGACUGAACCAGCCAAGCCGCGUGAGGGAGGAAGGUACAGAGUAUUGUAAACCUCUUUUGUCAGGGAACAAAGACUGGGACGCGUCCCCGGAUGAGUGUACCUGAAGAAAAAGCAUCGGCUAACUCCGUGCCAGCAGCCGCGGUAAUACGGAGGAUGCGAGCGUUAUCCGGAUUUAUUGGGUUUAAAGGGUGCGCAGGCGGUAGGUUAAGUCAGCGGUAAAAUCCCGGGGCUCAACCCCGGCCCGCCGUUGAAACUGGCAGUCUCGAGUUGGAGAGAAGUAUGCGGAAUGCGCGGUGUAGCGGUGAAAUGCAUAGAUAUCGCGCAGAACUCCGAUUGCGAAGGCAGCAUGCCGGCUCCACACUGACGCUGAGGCACGAAAGCGUGGGUAUCGAACAGGAUUAGAUACCCGGGUAGUC
Molecule: ribosomal RNA, 459 nt
Filed under: uncultured bacterium
Lineage: Bacteria
Description: partial 16S ribosomal RNA
Rfam family: Bacterial small subunit ribosomal RNA
Source: RNAcentral